This 23-nucleotide microRNA is filed under the name Haemonchus contortus (barber pole worm). Its description in RNAcentral is "hco-miR-5911b". The record is from miRBase by way of RNAcentral. Lineage: Eukaryota; Metazoa; Nematoda; Chromadorea; Rhabditida; Trichostrongylidae.
UAAGGUUGACUUGCUUAGAAGCU